UUUAAUUUUUAAAAAACUUUCUAAAUUUGUGAAAUGUUACAAUAUCUUUGAAUAUGACAAGAAAAUAACUUUUUACUAAUCUUUAUAUAUAAAGUUACGAUUUUAAUAAUAAAAUAAUAAUCCAAAUAUAUAUAUAUAUAUAUAUAAUGUUUGCCUCCCUCGUGUUGCGUCACUUCAGCAUCGAAGUCACAAAGUCGAGUCAUGUGGUGUAGACAUCUGUCCAGGCCACUGAUACUCUGUGUUUCAUUUAAUCUGUAGAAUCAUGGGCUGGGUUUUGGAUCUUGACAAGUCAACUAAAUUUAGUCUACCUGGAACCGUCACGCUCAUCACCACCACUUUCUUUGUGUCUCUUUCGAUGAGUCUGAAAAUGACAUAACAACUAAAUUAUGGUGAUGUCAUAGAAAAAAAGAGUUAAAACACAAAUUACUUACAAACUAACCAACAACUUAAAUUAAUAAAAUAGUAUAUCUUAUACGCACCUCUUACAGACGUGAAAUUAAAACACAAACCACAAAAUUAUAUAACAAAUAAUAACUUAGAUAACAAGUAAGGUAUAUCCCGUCCGUAGGGCGGACCGACCCUAGUAUAUAUAUAUAUAUAUAUAUAUAUAUAUAGAGAGAGAAGAAAAUACAAAUGCAUGUGAAAGUUUAAAAUAAUCUAUUCAAUGAAAAAAUAUACCGUAAACUUAUUAUGUUUUAAAAAUUGAUAGACACAUAUAUUAUAAUAUAUACCAAUUUAGAAUUGAAAACAAAAUAUUUAUAUAAAAUAAAUGAAAACAAAAACCCGCGCGGUUGUUAUGUCAAGAUCUAGUUGAUACAUCUAUUACUAUAAAACACAGUUUACUCUCUUCUCCUUCCUCCACAUAGGAUGCCACCUAGAUAAGUCUGUUUAUACCUAUGCAACACGUGUCCCGUAUAUGAAACUCAUCGUUUCAUUAACUUUGGUUGGACUCCUGUUUUAUGUUUUGUAUCUGUGUUUUAAUUUAUAAAACCCAUCACGAAAAUAACUAAGUGUGCUCGAAACGUCUUCAUCUUCUAUAAUCGAUUUUUAGGGUUCAUGAUGUUCUUCAGUUUCUGAUUUCUUUCAGCGACCACGAAGUUUCGAAAGAGUUAUGGGAGAUGAAUAUUCACAUCCAAUCUCUGGUGCGAGCUGCCGUUCGCGUCGAUUCGUCUGGCUUUCUUCACGCCGGCAAAGGGAAAUUGGAACCGUUACGGGCUCCAUUCAAUCGGUGUCAUUAACAGCCUUCUUAACUCCUUCUUCCAUGAUUCUUCAUUCAAUGCAUCCUUCACUAUCUUCCGUUCUCUGACUUUGCAUCUAUAAAGAGAAUGGCAAACUCCCACUCCUCCUUGCUGACUUGAAGGUCGAGCAAAACAGCACCACCGAAGGAGUUCUUCAGAUGCCGGAAAGCUUCUCCCUUUAAGCUUUUAUUCUUUGUUUACUUCCGAUCUAUAUUAAUGGAUUCUUGCGUUAUCUUUCGUAUUGAGGGUACGCUCUCUUCAUCUCUUUUUAAGUUCCUUUUUUUAGAAUUUCCAAAAGUUUUCGAGAAUUUAAAUUUUAAGUGUCUCUCUGCAAAUAUGAUCUUUUAACAGUUUAUCAAUCAUGGUUAUGAGAAAAGGAAUGAACUUUGUGAGAGUCUUCACCUGAUCUAAUGUCUCCACCUUUUUCAAUUAUUAAUUGUCCUCAGUUUUGACUUUAGUAAACUCUUUGUGUGUGUUUCUGCAGAUAAGAGCAGUGGUCUCUACAACCUCCAUCUUUAGCGUUCAAUCAUCAUCAUCAUCGGCAGCUCAUAAGGGAGAAAGAGAGAUACUUAGCAAAGCGAACGUUAAGGACUUUACCUUCAACGAUCUCAGACUCGCAACCAGAAAAUUAGGUCACUUUUUUCCCGUAAACAGAUCACUCUGUAACGAACGAUGAGUGGAAAAAGUAUUGUUUCUCCCGUUUUACAGUCCCAUUCCAUCUCAUUCCUUCUUCUCCAAGAAGACUACGGCGAGAUCUUCGGCUAUUAAUGGGAACGCCAAAGAGAAUCUUCAUACGGCCGUUUCCUCUUCCGUCUUCGGCUAAACGCAUCAUCGUGAGAUGACACGGCUCCGUGAAGCCGAACUCUGCGGUGAUCCCUGAAUGUAUCAAAUCAGAAGGAGGCAAAGUAGGUUUGGAUAAGAUCUUUGAUUCUCUAAGAGUUUCUCUAGCAAGUACGAGUUUGUUUUUUUUAAGUUUUUCACAAAGCAAAAGUUAGUGCUUUUUGAUUUGAUGCCUUCUGGUUCUGUAGUAGUUAUGAGAUCUGUUAAUUUGUUUGUAAUUUGUUGUGUAUAUGACAAUGGCUAUUGCCACUGAAGAUGUGAGGAGAGAAGUGAUGAUAUUGAAAAGUUUGUCUGGUCAUGAUAAUCUUCCUCAUUUAUAUGAUACAUAUGAGGAUCA
Brassica rapa (field mustard) is the source of this 2415-nucleotide long non-coding RNA. RefSeq lists it as uncharacterized. The record is from RefSeq and is a predicted model, not a curated record. Lineage: Eukaryota; Viridiplantae; Streptophyta; Magnoliopsida; Brassicales; Brassicaceae.